AGAAUCAACGCUGGCGGCGUGCCUAACACAUGCAAGUCGAACGAGAAAGUGGAGCAAUCCAUGAGUAAAGUGGCGCACGGGUGAGUAACACGUGACUAACCUACCCUGGAGUGGGGAUAACUGAGGGAAACCUUAGCUAAUACCGCAUAACACCUACGGGUCAAAGGAGCAAUUCGCUUUGGGAGGGGUCGCGGCAGAUUAGCUAGUUGGCGGGUAAUGGCCCACCAAGGCAGUGAUCUGUA
Molecule: ribosomal RNA, 242 nt
Filed under: uncultured bacterium
Lineage: Bacteria
Description: partial small subunit ribosomal RNA
Rfam family: Bacterial small subunit ribosomal RNA
Source: RNAcentral